GCAUUGUGGGAUGAUGACGUGAUCAUGUAUCUCCUCGCUAGUCUUGGCCUGAUUAUGAUCCCUUCGUCACCUUGAUGAUUACCAAGAGUGAAGCCUUCACGCUUGAUGAUGUGUUUGCACAUAUAAUGAAGUUUGAAG
Molecule: small nucleolar RNA, 138 nt
Organism: Cucurbita maxima (winter squash)
Lineage: Eukaryota; Viridiplantae; Streptophyta; Magnoliopsida; Cucurbitales; Cucurbitaceae
Product: small nucleolar RNA Z247
Exons: 1
Source: RefSeq, a predicted model, not a curated record